Molecule: ribosomal RNA, 525 nt
Filed under: uncultured Planctomycetota bacterium
Lineage: Bacteria; Pseudomonadati; Planctomycetota
Description: bacterial SSU rRNA
Rfam family: Bacterial small subunit ribosomal RNA
Source: RNAcentral
UCGAGAAUCUUCGGCAAUGGGGGAAACCCUGACCGAGCGACGCCGCGUGCGGGAUGAAGGCCUUCGGGUUGUAAACCGCUGUCGUAAGGGAACAAAUUUACGGGGGUACUCCCCUGUAAUUGAGUGAUCUUAGGAGGAAGGACGGGCUAAGUUCGUGCCAGCAGCCGCGGUAAGACGAACCGUCCGAACGUUAUUCGGUAUCACUGGGCUUAAAGAGUUCGUAGGCGGCCCGACGGGUGAGGUGUGAAAUCCCUCGGCUCAACCGAGGAAUUGCGCUUCAAACCGUCAGGCUUGAGGGAGAUAGAGGUGAGCGGAACAGAUGGUGGAGCGGUGAAAUGCGUUGAUAUCAUCUGGAACACCGGUGGCGAAAGCGGCUCACUGGAUCUUUCUGACGCUGAGGAACGAAAGCUAGGGUAGCGAACGGGAUUAGAUACCCCGGUAGUCCUAGCCGUAAACGAUGAGCACUAGUCUGUGGGGACCCUCACAUCCUCUCGGACGUAGCGAAAGUGUUAAGUGCUCCGCCGG